Musa acuminata AAA Group (dessert banana) is the source of this 2134-nucleotide RNA transcript. It is a transcript of the gene named zinc finger protein BRUTUS-like, with no coding region annotated. The transcript is spliced from 7 exons. NCBI's taxonomy places the organism in Eukaryota, Viridiplantae, Streptophyta, Magnoliopsida, Zingiberales, Musaceae. The record is from RefSeq and is a predicted model, not a curated record.
UGGACUAAUUGGUGUUGUGUGUGUGUGUGUGUGUGUGUGUGUUGGACUAAUUGGUGUAAGAAUUUUAUUUGGCUUUCAAAUGGUGAAACUAACCUCCUCUACUGGACAAUGUUGGCAGUUUUGGGUCCCUUGGCUAGGACAAUAUUAUGAUGCCAACCAUUCUUUCUUGUCCUUUGCAGAAAAGCAACAAGUGAAAUGAUGUGUAUGCAUUGUUUGAAGGUUCAACCAGUUGGUCCAACUUGCAGUACACCUUCCUGUGCUGGAUUCUCGAUGGCGAAAAAUGUGUACCACUGCCCAUUAUGCAACUUAUGUUGUGUUGGAAAAGGACUUGGCAUAGACUUCUUUCAUUGCAUGACAUGCAAUUGUUGCUUGGGUAUGAAAUUGAAGGAGCACAAGUGCCGGGAGAAAGGUCUAGAGACAAACUGUCCGAUUUGUUGUGAUUUUCUGUUUACAUCAAGUGCAGCAGUAAGAGCUCUGCGCUGUGGACAUUUCAUGCAUUCUGCAUGCUUCCAAGCGUACACUUGCAGUCAUUACACCUGCCCAAUUUGCAGCAAAUCCUUGGGAGACAUGGCCGUGUACUUUGGCAUGAUUGAUGCCUUGUUGGCUGCUGAAGAGCUUCCUGAAGAGUACCGGGAUCGAUGUCAGUGAGAUUAUCAUCCAGUCGUAUGAGUGUCGAAGAAAGAGAAAUGAGCCAAUGAUUUCUCAGGUGCUGUAAUUUGCUACCCACAGGCUUCUGAAAUAACCAAGGCUGAUCACAUCAAAGUUGAAACCUCCCCCAGGCAUUGCAACACAGUGCAGUAGAAACUGCUGUCUGAUGAAUCCAAGCACUCACAAGAUGGAUUCCCCUCUUCAGCAAGCACAUGACCAAUAGUGCAUCUUGCUCUGCUUCCCCUCCAAGCACCUCUGACAAUUGGGAAGAACAAACUGCCACUCUGCUAAUCCGAACGACAACGAGGAUCUCUCUGUGGAACCACAGUCUGGUCUGCAUCCUAGAGGAAGAAGGAAUGCAGAAGAAUUCAUUAGGGUUAUCCCAUCUCUAAAUGUAGAGAUAUAGAUGGGCAUAUCUGAACACAGAUCAAGAGCAGCUGAUGGUUCAGACUUCCUAUGAGCAAUCAGUGAAUAUACACAGAUGGAUUGAAAUAUAAAUUUGAUAUUCUGCAAUCAAAGAAGAAAACUUUUAACACAAAUGGAACUCAGGAAAAGAAUCAUGUCUCACCAUUUUGGCAGAUGCAAGCAAGAUUUGUCACACCUGAUCUACAUUUGGGUUUGCAGCUAUCACUUGACAAAAGCUGAACAUGCAAGAUAAAGAUAUAAUCCGCCUUUCUCAUCAUCCUGAAGAAAAUGAUGACCGGAAUGAUUUGUCUCAGUACAACUUUGCCUACAAGAGUAGUACAACAUGCAACUUUCAACCCAUCAUUUUGCCACAUGAAAACUGUCUUCAACAGAGGUUUGUACAUCUUUCAGAAAUAAGCAUGAAUUAUUCAGUUUUUGUCACUCCCGGAUAAUUAAUUGAUGUCCAGCUGCCUUUCUAUGUCUUCAUGAGUUUGAGCAUCAUGUCUCUUAGGGCUGCUAUUUUUCUCAAAUCAACAUGCAUGUAGACCUGUGUGUAGGAACAUAAACCAAAUUGAUGCUUAAAUUGACUGUUUAUCAUGUAAUUGUUGCCUUCAGUACUCUACCAAUCUUAAAUUGUUGCCAUCAGUAUCCUAUCGAUCUUCAUAAGGAAACAUAGAGAUUGAUUAAAUCUUACUUCAAUGUUUCUUUAGUUUGUUUGGUGGAUGCAAGUGGUUGUUUCAGUAACCCAAUGAGAAUCACAUCUCUUCCUCUUUCAGUGCCUACAUCUUGACAUCCAAGUGAAUGUGUACAUGUUUGUUUCAUCAUGCAAAAGUUUCUACAGUUUUGAAAGUCAUGGUCCACAAUGCAACAUGAAAAGGAUAGGAGAAGAGAAAAAUGUCAUGCGCUGACAAAUUAAAAGGCAGACUGGCUGUCCUCUUUGAUAUCCAAAUUAAUCUUGGAUCUAGAAAUCAACCUACUCUCAUAAAAUUCUCAUGGUAUAGAUAGACAUGUCAUAAUAUAGAUAGACAUGUCCCAUAAUGCAACAUGAAAAGGAAAGGAGAAAGAAAAAUGUGAUUGGCAA